AGGAGGCCGCAACGCUGCCUGGGAGUGAUGAGCCCUGUCCUCUCACAGUGAACCGGUCUCUUUC
This 64-nucleotide microRNA precursor is filed under the name Petromyzon marinus (sea lamprey). Its description in RNAcentral is "Pma-Mir-128-o2_pre stem-loop". Lineage: Eukaryota; Metazoa; Chordata; Hyperoartia; Petromyzontiformes; Petromyzontidae. The record is from RNAcentral.